GAUGAAGAACGUAGCAAAAUGCGAUAAGUAAUGUGAAUUGCAGAAUUCAGUGAAUCAUCGAAUCUUUGAACGCACAUUGCGCCCCCUGGUAUUCCGGGGGGCAUGCCUGUCCGAGCGUCAUUACAACCCUCAAGCUCAGCUUGGUGUUGGGCCCCGCCGCCCCGGCGGGCCCUAAAGUCAGUGGCGGUGCCGUCCGGCUCCGAGCGUAGUAAUUCUUCUCGCUCUGGAGGUCCGGUCGUGUGCUCGCCAGCAACCCCCAAUUUUUUUCAGGUUGACCUCGGAUCAGGUAGGGAUACCCGCUGAACUUAAGCAUAUCAAUAAGCGGAGGA
Molecule: unclassified non-coding RNA, 329 nt
Filed under: soil metagenome
Description: partial contains 5.8S ribosomal RNA, internal transcribed spacer 2, and large subunit ribosomal RNA
Rfam family: 5.8S ribosomal RNA (bases 1-120)
Source: RNAcentral